This 346-nucleotide unclassified non-coding RNA is filed under the name soil metagenome. RNAcentral describes it as "partial contains 5.8S ribosomal RNA, internal transcribed spacer 2, and large subunit ribosomal RNA". The stretch from base 1 to 119 matches the Rfam family "5.8S ribosomal RNA", at positions 35 to 154 of the family's 154-position model. The record is from RNAcentral.
GAUGAAGAACGCAGCGAAAUGCGAUACGUAAUGUGAAUUGCAAAUUCAGUGAAUCAUCGAGUCUUUGAACGCACAUUGCGCCCCCUGGUAUUCCGGGGGGCAUGCCUGUCCGAGCGUCAUUGCUGCCCUCAAGCACGGCUUGUGUGUUGGGCCCCGUCCUCCGAUCCCGGGGGACGGGCCCGAAAGGCAGCGGCGGCACCGCGUCCGGUCCUCGAGCGUAUGGGGCUUUGUCACCCGCUCUGUAGGCCCGGCCGGCGCUUGCAGAUCAACCCAAAUUUUUUAUCCAGGUUGACCUCGGAUCAGGUAGGGAUACCCGCUGAACUUAAGCAUAUCAAUAAGCGGAGGA